Molecule: ribosomal RNA, 253 nt
Filed under: uncultured bacterium
Lineage: Bacteria
Description: partial 16S ribosomal RNA
Rfam family: Bacterial small subunit ribosomal RNA
Source: RNAcentral
UACGUAGGGAGCAAGCGUUGUCCGGAAUCAUUGGGCGUAAAGCGCGCGUAGGCGGCCUCAUAAGUCCGUUGUGAAAGCCAAAGGCUCAACCUUUGAAAGCCGAUGGAUACUGUGAGGCUAGAGUACGGAAGAGGCGAGUGGAAUUCCUGGUGUAGCGGUGGAAUGCGCAGAUAUCAGGAGGAACACCAAUAGCGAAGGCAGCUCGCUGGGACGUUACUGACGCUGAGACGCGAAAGCGUGGGGAGCAAACAGG